ACGCUCGACACCUACGGAGGCAGCAGUGGGGAAUAUUGCACAAUGGGGGAAACCCUGAUGCAGCGACGCCGCGUGAGUGAAGAAGUAUUUCGGUAUGUAAAGCUCUAUCAGCAGGGAAGAAAAUGACGGUACCUGACUAAGAAGCCCCGGCUAACUACGUGCCAGCAGCCGCGGUAAUCUGAGCGGCUGGCAAGGC
Molecule: ribosomal RNA, 196 nt
Filed under: uncultured bacterium
Lineage: Bacteria
Description: partial 16S ribosomal RNA
Rfam family: Bacterial small subunit ribosomal RNA
Source: RNAcentral